GGUUAUGGCACUUGAACAGGCUUCUCCUGGGACACCAGACUCUUCUGUGAGGAAAACAUUAGAAAUGAGGAGCUGAGCAGCAGUUGAUUGGAUGUGACUGCCUGCAACAACAAACCCAACCAUUACCAACCAAGAUAACAACCCUUGAUGAACGCCCUCAACGUGGCUUGGAGAGAUGUCUGAUAUUGAAGUUCUUGGAGGACAACAAGCAUCCUAUUUCCCGGAGUAGGCUAACUCCAUGAAGUAACACACUGAUGUGAAAAAGGGAUCAGGGUCACAGGAUCAAUUCUAUUCACAUUAUUCCGCGCACAAACAUGGGGGGCACUAGCUUUGCCCACAUUGUCUCUGAACUUCCGAUUGAGCAGUACAUCCAUUGCGAUACAU
Molecule: long non-coding RNA, 384 nt
Organism: Alosa sapidissima (American shad)
Lineage: Eukaryota; Metazoa; Chordata; Actinopteri; Clupeiformes; Clupeidae
Exons: 3
Source: RefSeq, a predicted model, not a curated record